GAUGAACGCUGGCGGCGUGCCUAAUACAUGCAAGUCGAGCGAACGGACGAGAAGCUUGCUUCUCUGAUGUUAGCGGCGGACGGGUGAGUAACACGUGGAUACCCUACCUAUCAGACUGGGAUAACUUCGGGAAACCGGAGCUAACACCGGAUGAUAUUUUGAACCGCAUGGUUCAUAAGUGAAAUACGGUCUUGCUGUCACUUAUAGAUGGCUCCGCGCUGUAUGAGCUAGUUGGUAAGGUAACGGCUUACCAAGGCAACGAUGCAUAGCCGACCUGAGAGGGGGAUCGGCCACCCUGGAACUGAAACACGGUCCAGACUCCUACGGGAGGCAGCAGUAGGGAAUCUUACGCAAUGGGCGAAAGCCUGACGGAGCAACGCCGCGUGAGUGAUGAAGGUCUUCGGAUCGUAAAACUCUGUUAUUAGGGAAGAACAUAUGUGUAAGUAACUGUGCACAUCUUGACGGUACCUAAUCAGAAAGCCACGGCUAACUACGUG
Molecule: ribosomal RNA, 497 nt
Filed under: uncultured bacterium
Lineage: Bacteria
Description: partial 16S ribosomal RNA
Rfam family: Bacterial small subunit ribosomal RNA
Source: RNAcentral